RNAcentral lists this ribosomal RNA (433 nucleotides) under uncultured bacterium. RNAcentral's name for it is "partial 16S ribosomal RNA". It matches the Rfam family "Bacterial small subunit ribosomal RNA", at positions 29 to 507 of the family's 1533-position model. The record is from RNAcentral.
AACGAACGCUGGCGGCAUGCCUAACACAUGCAAGUCGAACGAGACCUUCGUGUCUAUUGGCGCACGGGUGCGUAACGCCGGGUAACCUGCCCUUAGGUUCGGAAUAACUCCCCGUAAGAGGUGCUAAUACCGGAUAAUCUCUUCCCACCUAAGAGUUAUCGCCUUUGGAUGGGCCCGCGUUGGAUUCGCUAGUUGGUAGGGUAAAAGCCUACCAUGGCGACGAUCCAUGGCUGGUCGGUGACCAUGAUCAGCCACACUGGGACUGAGACACGGCCCAGACCCGGACGGAAGGCAGCAGUAGGGAAUAUUGGACAAUGGGCGAAAGCGUGACCCAGCAAUGCCGGGGGAGUCAGGAAGGGCUUAGGGUUGUAAAGCCCUUUUACACGGGAUGAUAAUGACAGUACCGGGAGAAUAAGCACCGGCUAACUCCGUG